Molecule: ribosomal RNA, 497 nt
Filed under: uncultured bacterium
Lineage: Bacteria
Description: partial 16S ribosomal RNA
Rfam family: Bacterial small subunit ribosomal RNA
Source: RNAcentral
GAUGAACGCUGGCGGCGUGCCUAAUACAUGCAAGUCGAGCGAACGGACGAGAAGCUUGCUUCUCUGAUGUUAGCGGCGGACGGGUGAGUAACACGUGGAUAACCUACCUAUAAGACUGGGAUAACUUCGGGAAACCGGAGCUAAUACCGGAUAAUAUUUUGAACCGCAUGGUUCAAAAGUGAAAGACGGUCUUGCUGUCACUUAUAGAUGGAUCCGCGCUGCAUUAGCUAGUUGGUAAGGUAACGGCUUACCAAGGCAACGAUGCAUAGCCGACCUGAGAGGGUGAGCGGCCACACGGGAACUGAGACACGGUCCAGACUAAUACGGGAGGCAGCAGUAGGGAAUCUUCCGAAAUGGGCGAAAGCCUGAAGGAGCAACGCAGCGUGAGUGAUGAAGGUCGUCGGAUCGUAAAACUCUGUUAUUAGGGAAGAACAUAUGUGUAAGGAACUGUGCACAGCUUGACGGUACCUAAUCAGAAAGCCACGGCUAACUACGUG